AACGAACGCUGGCGGCAUGCCUAACACAUGCAAGUCGAACGAAACCGCCGGGUCUUUGGGCGCACGGGUUUGUAAGGCGGGGGAAGCUUCCCUUAUGUUCCGAAUACCUCUCCGAGAGGGGUGCUAAUGCAGCAUAAUCUCUUCCGACCAAAGAUUUAUCGCCUUUGGUUGGGCCCGCGUUGGAUUCGGUAGUUGGUAGGGUAAAAGCCUAGCAUGGGGUCGAUUCUUAGCUGGUUUGUGAGGCAGCUCCGCCACGCUGGGACUGAGACACGGCCCAGAAUCGUACGGGAGGGAGCAGAGGGGUAUAGAGGACAAUGGGCGAAGGGCUGAAGCAGCCAUGCCGGGUGAGAGAGGAAGGGGGUAGUGUUGUGAUGUUCUUUUAACCGGGAUGAUAAUGACGGUACCGGGAGAAUAAGCACCGGCUAACUACGUG
RNAcentral lists this ribosomal RNA (433 nucleotides) under uncultured bacterium. RNAcentral's name for it is "partial 16S ribosomal RNA". It matches the Rfam family "Bacterial small subunit ribosomal RNA", at positions 29 to 507 of the family's 1533-position model. The record is from RNAcentral.